RNAcentral lists this ribosomal RNA (920 nucleotides) under Ophiobolus sp. Its description in RNAcentral is "SSU rRNA". It matches the Rfam family "Eukaryotic small subunit ribosomal RNA", at positions 134 to 1064 of the family's 1831-position model. The record is from RNAcentral. Lineage: Eukaryota; Fungi; Ascomycota; Dothideomycetes; Pleosporales; Phaeosphaeriaceae.
ACUACUUGGAUAACCGUGGUAAUUCUAGAGCUAAUACAUGCUGAAAACCCCAACUUCGGGAGGGGUGUAUUUAUUAGAUAAAAAACCAACGCCCUUCGGGGCUUCUUGGUGAUUCAUGAUAACUUAACGGAUCGCAUGGCCUUGCGCCGGCGACGGUUCAUUCAAAUUUCUGCCCUAUCAACUUUCGAUGGUAAGGUAUUGGCUUACCAUGGUUUCAACGGGUAACGGGGAAUUAGGGUUCGAUUCCGGAGAGGGAGCCUGAGAAACGGCUACCACAUCCAAGGAAGGCAGCAGGCGCGCAAAUUACCCAAUCCCGACACGGGGAGGUAGUGACAAUAAAUACUGAUACAGGGCUCUUUUGGGUCUUGUAAUUGGAAUGAGUACAAUUUAAACCUCUUAACGAGGAACAAUUGGAGGGCAAGUCUGGUGCCAGCAGCCGCGGUAAUUCCAGCUCCAAUAGCGUAUAUUAAAGUUGUUGCAGUUAAAAAGCUCGUAGUUGAACCUUGGGUCUGGCUGGCAGGUCCGCCUCACCGCGUGUACUUGUCCGGCCGGGCCUUCCUUCUGGAGAACCUCAUGCCCUUCACUGGGCGUGUUGGGGACCAGGACUUUUACUUUGAAAAAAUUAGAGUGUUCAAAGCAGGCCUUUGCUCGAAUACGUUAGCAUGGAAUAAUAAAAUAGGACGUGCGGUCCUAUUUUGUUGGUUUCUAGGACCGCCGUAAUGAUUAAUAGGGACAGUCGGGGGCAUCAGUAUUCAAUUGUCAGAGGUGAAAUUCUUGGAUUUAUUGAAGACUAACUACUGCGAAAGCAUUUGCCAAGGAUGUUUUCAUUAAUCAGUGAACGAAAGUUAGGGGAUCGAAGACGAUCAGAUACCGUCGUAGUCUUAACCGUAAACUAUGCCGACUAGGGAUCGGGCGAUGUU